RNAcentral lists this unclassified non-coding RNA (278 nucleotides) under Ascomycota sp. RNAcentral describes it as "partial contains small subunit ribosomal RNA, internal transcribed spacer 1, and 5.8S ribosomal RNA". The stretch from base 1 to 47 matches the Rfam family "Eukaryotic small subunit ribosomal RNA", at positions 1785 to 1831 of the family's 1831-position model. Lineage: Eukaryota; Fungi; Ascomycota. The record is from RNAcentral.
AAAGUCGUAACAAGGUUUCCGUAGGUGAACCUGCGGAAGGAUCAUUACCGAGAUAGGGUCUCUUCGGAGCCCGACCUCCAACCCAAUGUCUAUAUUACCUCUGUUGCCUCGGCGUGCCGCCGGCGUCUCCUUUGCGGGGGUUCGUCUGCCGUCGGUCCCUUUAAUCGGGGGCUUUCGAGCGUGCGCCGCGGGGAUAUACAAAAACUCUUUAUUAAAACAGUAUUUCUGAGUGGGAUUUAAUGGCUUCAAAACUUUCAACAACGGAUCUCUUGGUUCUG